GGUCAAGCGGUUAAGACACCGCCCUUUCACGGCGGUAACACGGGUUCGAAUCCCGUA
This 57-nucleotide transfer RNA is filed under the name Enterococcus faecium. Its description in RNAcentral is "tRNA-Glu". It matches the Rfam family "tRNA", at positions 9 to 63 of the family's 71-position model. From Rfam's summary of the family: Transfer RNA (tRNA) molecules are approximately 80 nucleotides in length. RNAcentral also lists the same sequence under 3 other names. The record is from RNAcentral. Lineage: Bacteria; Bacillati; Bacillota; Bacilli; Lactobacillales; Enterococcaceae.